AUUAUUCUCUCUGGGUGAGCAGGCCAGUCAUUUUUGGCCAUCAAAUGAUCACUGAACACUGCAAAAUGUACCCUGAAGUAAAUACUGACUACAGUGACUCUCUGGACACAGGAGGUUGAUGUGUAGGAGUUAUCAUUGAUAAACGUAGCCUGUUAAGGUAUAUCGCAGCCAAAAUCAGAUCACUAAUUUUCAACAAGUUACAGACAACUCUCCCUUGUGCAUUCAACACUCCCAUUAUAUAAUCAUUGAUGACAUCAUGUGGGUGGCACUACGGGAGCUGACCUUCCCAUUGGUUAUCUGGGAAGUCUAAAUCGGAUUGGCCCUUGGAAAUUUCAUUUUUAACAGCCAGAAAGAACCUUCUGGCUGUAGUUCUCGCAACAUAACACCAGGUGGCAGCAUACAGUACAACAUAGCAAU
Bombina bombina (fire-bellied toad) is the source of this 417-nucleotide long non-coding RNA. RefSeq lists it as uncharacterized. Lineage: Eukaryota; Metazoa; Chordata; Amphibia; Anura; Bombinatoridae. The record is from RefSeq and is a predicted model, not a curated record. The transcript is spliced from 3 exons.